AGAGUUUGAUCCUGGCUCAGAACGAACGCUGGCGGCGUGCUUAACACAUGCAAGUCGAGUGCGCGCCUGUAGCAAUACAGGUGGCGCACGGCGCACGGGUGCGUAACACGUGGGCAAUCUGCCCUCUGAUGGGGAAUAACCCGCCGAAAGGCGGGCUAAUACCGCAUAAAAUUCCUUGGACUUAUGUUCGAGGACUCAAAGGCGUAAGUCGUCGGAGGAGGAGCCCGCGCACGAUUAGCUAGUUGGUAGGGUAAUGGCCUACCAAGGCUUUGAUCGUUAGCUGGUCUGAGAGGAUGGCCAGCCACACUGGAACUGAGACACGGUCCAGACUCCUACGGGAGGCAGCAGUGGGGAAUCUUGCACAAUGGGCGAAAGCCUGAUGCAGCGACGCCGCAUGGGGGAUGAAGCAUUUCGGUGUGUAAACCCCUUUCGAUCCGGACGAAUACCUCGCAAGAGGGGUGACGGUACGGAUAUAAGAAGCCCCGGCUAACUACGUGCCAGCAGCCGCGGUAAGACGUAGGGGGCCAGCGUUGUUCGGAAUUACUGGGUGUAAAGGGUUCGUAGGCGGUGUGGCAAGUUGGGAGUGAAAUCUCUGGGCUCAACCCAGAGACUGCUUCCAAAACUGCUGUGCUUGAGUGUGAGAGAGGCUCGUGGAAUUGCAGGUGUAGCGGUGAAAUGCGUAGAUAUCUGCAGGAACACCCGUGGCGAAAGCGGCGAGCUGGAUCACUACUGACGCUGAGGAACGAAAGCUAGGGGAGCAAACAGGAUUAGAUACCCUAGUAGUCC
This 786-nucleotide ribosomal RNA is filed under the name uncultured bacterium. RNAcentral's name for it is "bacterial SSU rRNA". It matches the Rfam family "Bacterial small subunit ribosomal RNA", at positions 8 to 796 of the family's 1533-position model. The record is from RNAcentral.